CCACUUUGGCAGCACAUAUACUAAAAAUUAAAAUGAUAAAGAGAUGAUUUGCAUAGUUCCUGUGAGUGGAUGACAUGCAAAUUUGUAAAGCAUUUCAUAUUUUU
This is a small nuclear RNA of Callithrix jacchus (white-tufted-ear marmoset), 104 nucleotides long. NCBI's taxonomy places the organism in Eukaryota, Metazoa, Chordata, Mammalia, Primates, Cebidae. The record is from Ensembl.